AAAAUAUUUACAUGUAUAUAUUUAUAUUUAUAUAAUUUAUAUAUAUUUCAUAUAUAAACAUAUUUUUCUUAAAUAUAUACAUGCAUGUUUGUGUAUUUAUAAAUGCAUAAUAAAUAUACACAGUACACACACAUAAUAUGUACACACAAACUUUUAUUUUGGAUGCGAUUAAUCGUUUGACAGCACUAGUGUGUGUGUGUGUGUGUGUGUGUGUAUGUAUGUCCAAAAUACUCUGCAGCCUUUAUUGAAGAGUUCACAGAACUGUUAUCAAUGAUUUCCAGUUUUGCUAUUGCAGAGGAUUUUAAUAUUCACAUAGAUAAUGCAGAAAACAAAAUUACAAAAGAAAUUAUAAUUCAGCAUGUGCAUGGACCCACACACAAUCGUUGACACACUCUAGAUUUACUCAUCAGUAGAGGUCUAAACAUUUCAUUCAUUGUCAUUAAGGAUGUAGCACUAUCUGAUCACUUCUGUAUUUUCUUUGAGAUAUGGAUCUCUGAUACCACUGAAUCUAGAUCUGUCUCUGUCAGAAAGACACAGAGAUUUUACAGGUUUGGAACUACAUGGGGGUAAGUGAAUAAUGACAAAAUUUUCAUUUUGGGAUGGAGUAUCCCUUUACCUGUUUAGAAGCAGAUCUCUUAGAUGUGGUGAACUCCUCACUGCUUUCUAGGACUUUUCCAAAAUCCCUGAAAACUGCAGUUGUUAAGCCCCUUCUGAAAAAGAGCAAUCUUGAUAAGACCAUAUUGAGCAACUCUAGACCAAUAUCAAAUCUUCCUUUUAUAGUUACUUACAAGUAAGUAUACUCACAGCACAGAGACAAUACUCAUUAAGAUAAUAAAUGAUAUUCACUUAAAUUCUGAUUCUGGCAAAAUAUCAAUGCUGGUACUACUAGAUCUCAGUGCUGCGUUUGACACAGUUGAUCAUAACAUACUUAUAGAGAGACUGGAAAACUGGGUCAGGCUUUCUGGGAUGGUACUCAAAUGGUUCAGGUCUUUCUUAGAAUGGAGAGGUUAUUAUGUGAAUUUACCUAGCCUUAUUGGCAAAUGACUACAGCCCCAUUGACUCCCUCUGCCAAUGCAUUGAUGAAAUUAACAGUUGGAUGUGCCAAAACUUUCUUCAGUUAAACAAGGAGAAAACUGAAGUCAUUGCAUUUGGAAACAAAGACGAAAUUGAAAGGUGAAUGCAUAUCUUGACUCUAGGAGUCAAACAACUAAAAAUCAAGUCAAGAAUCUUGGUGUGAUUCUGGAGACAGACCUUAGUUUCAACUAAAUCAGUAACUAAAUCAGCAUACUAUCAUCUCAAAAACAUUGCAAGAAUUAGAGAAACUUGUUCAUGCCUUGUUCUGCUGCCAGGAUUCUGACAAGAACCAGAAAAUCUGAGCAUAUCACACCAGCCCUCAGGUCCUUACACUGGCUUCCAAUUAUAUUUAGGAUUGGUUUUAAAGGGGUCAUAUGCAAUUUUAAGUUUUCCUUUCUCUUUGGAGUGUUAGAAGCUGUUUGUGCAUAGAUAAGAUCCCUAAAGUUGCAAAGACUAAAGUCUCAAACCCAAAGAGAUAUUCUUCAUAAAAGUUAAGAUUCAUCCACACCCUCCUAAAACACCUAACUUAAAGUGCCCCCACAUGUCUACAUCACUGUGUGGAAAGAUUUGCAUAACAUCGCUCAAAUGUUCACGCAAAGAAAGAAGGCAUAACUUUGAUUCUUGCUGUAGUAUUAUUGCUGCCGUCGCCAUGUCGUGGAGACGCUGUGUUUCGUUGUGAAAGCGAAACUUCUUUGUUUGGUCUUCCAAAAGAGGACACAACUAGAAAUCAGUGGUUAAGUUGUAUUUACUAGGGAUGUGCCGAUCCGAUAUUCAUAUCAGGUAUCGGCUCCGAUACUGCCAUUUUUUUUUUUCGGAUCGGGAAUCGGUCAGAGAGGGCUGAUCCAUAUCCGAGAUUGUGCGUAUUAUUCUGUGUUACUUCUGAAGCCAUACGAUAGCUUAAAGGGUUAAAUUUUGUCAUUAAUCCCCCUUGUCGUUCCAAACCCGUAAAAGCUUCAUUUGUCUUCAGAACACAAUUUAAGAUAUUUUGGAAGAAAAACGUGAGGCUUGUGACUGUCCCAUUGACUGCCAAGUAAAUUACACUGUAAAGAUCCAGAAAAGUAUGAAAGACAUCGUGAGGAUAGUCCAUCUGCCAUCAGUGGUUCAUUCUGUAUUCCCAUUAUCAUACUUGAUUUGUAAAUAAAUGUCUAUGAUUUUGCAAAAACUUUAUCUUCUUGCCAGAGUUUAAUGUUGUUUUGUGUCUUGCUACUGGGUGUCUGUGAGAACAAAACAUGGGCGUAGAAAAGACUAUAAAUGGUUUUUAAUGUGCACAGUAACUGAAAUUUAAAACUGUUAAAAGAAAGGCUCAAUAACUGUUACACAGAUAUAAUACACUAUGCAUCAGUUUCUCUUCCCUUUGUGCUUUGCAUUUUUUAAUGCAAAGCGCUGCAUGCUGUGACUCUGUGUUGCUUCAAGCGCAUCAUUCUGCACACCGGAUGCGCAUAUUGUAAGUGCUUUGUGUCACACUGUAUUAGUUUUGUCCUAUCAAAUCUAUCAUAUGUUGUUUCCUUAUUAAAAAAUAUGUAUUUUAGAAAUGUAUUUUAAUUUUAUAGUAUAUACUUCUAUAUAAAUACAUUCAUGAAUGUUUUUCAUCAAUGGAUUUUAUAAUACAAAUAAAAAAAUGUGUAACAUUUUACCAUAUUUAGUGCAACACUUUUAUUUGUUC
This is a long non-coding RNA of Cyprinus carpio carpio, 2737 nucleotides long. NCBI's taxonomy places the organism in Eukaryota, Metazoa, Chordata, Actinopteri, Cypriniformes, Cyprinidae. The record is from Ensembl.